Molecule: ribosomal RNA, 431 nt
Filed under: uncultured bacterium
Lineage: Bacteria
Description: bacterial SSU rRNA
Rfam family: Bacterial small subunit ribosomal RNA
Source: RNAcentral
GUGGGGAAUAUUGCGCAAUGGCCGCAAGGCUGACGCAGCGACGCCGCGUGUGGGAUGAAGGCCUUCGGGUUGUAAACCACUGUCGGGGGGGACGAAUACUCGGCUUCAAAUAGGAGACCGAGGGUGACGGUACCCCCAGAGGAAGCACCGGCUAACUCCGUGCCAGCAGCCGCGGUAAUACGGAGGGUGCAAGCGUUGUCCGGAAUCACUGGGCGUAAAGCGCGCGUAGGCGGUCUUGUAAGUCAGCUGUGAAAUCCCGGGGCUCAACUCCGGGCCUGCAGUUGAAACUGCAUGACUAGAGCUCGGUAGAGGCGAGUGGAAUUCCCGGUGUAGCGGUGGAAUGCGUAGAUAUCGGGAGGAACACCAGUGGCGAAGGCGGCUCGCUGGGCCGUUGCUGACGCUGAGGCGCGAAAGCGUGGGGAGCAAACAGG